This 273-nucleotide ribosomal RNA is filed under the name uncultured bacterium. RNAcentral's name for it is "partial 16S ribosomal RNA". It matches the Rfam family "Bacterial small subunit ribosomal RNA", at positions 524 to 796 of the family's 1533-position model. The record is from RNAcentral.
UACAGAGGGUGCGAGCGUUAAUCGGAAUUACUGGGCGUAAAGCGCACGUAGGCGGCUUGGUAUGUCGGGUGUGAAAUCCCCGGGCUCAACCUGGGAACUGCAUCCGAAACUGCCUUGCUAGAGUAUGGGAGAGGGAAGUGGAAUUUCCGGUGUAGCGGUGAAAUGCGUAGAUAUCGGAAGGAACAUCAGUGGCGAAGGCGACUUCCUGGACCAAUACUGACGCUCAGGUGCGAAAGCGUGGGGAGCAAACAGGAUUAGAUACCCCCGUAGUCC